CUCACACAAGUGGAAGACAGAGAGCUUUAGUGACUCAAGAUUCUGUUCCAAGCAAGGAGGAGGAUUAAAUUAUAGCAAAGCGGAAGCAUGGAGCUGGCUUCUACAAUCUGUCGGAGCCUGGGUAUACAGUGGGAAUCCCAGAUCUCAGGAUAACUUUGUAACAGGCCACAACCUCAGAACCAUCUUCUCCCUCAGCUAUAAAGGCAUACAUUUUGAUUGAUAACCGUCCUACUGUAGGACAUUUCCUACCUCACCGAGAGAAAGAGAAGACAGAGUAGAAUAUAACAUGGGAAAGAGCAGCAUGAAAGUGGUGUGAAGUCACCAGGCAAUUUGUGAGUGACUCUUACAAACACUUCAUUGCGGAGAAUGGCUGCUUUUAUCUCCUUUUCUCUAACCACGCUUUCACAACUAUAUUAAUUUUCCUGUGCCGGGCGAGAUACAGACAGGUGCGUAACAGCAAAAGGAAAACAUAUUUCUAUAGCUUUCACCCGUCUAUUCUGUUCUAUGUAUUCAUUUGGCAGGUUGCAAGAUAAAGAACAUCAGUUUGAAUUCAUCUUUAAGAUUUUUAUUUCAUGGACUUGUCAAGAAUUUAUUUAAUAGACAACCAAGGCCAUUGUCACCUGUUCUUCAGAGUAUAUUUUCUUCAAGCAACUUUUCCAGUGUUGCAGCUAGUGCUUUGGAAAAGAGUUCCUAUUCCAGCCUCAUUCCUUUCCUUCCUACAAUACUUUCAGACAACAUACUGAAGAAAGGAAAGGUUCUCGAAAGGCCUUGUCUUUGGGAAGUGUAUUUCCAAAUUCAAGAUAAUAGCUGUCGUUCAGUCCACAUCCCUCAGAGAUGACUCUGGUGUGGCAAAGCACAUCCCUUUGGAGUCUGUAGCAGUGCCAAGGAGUACAAAAGGAGCAAAGUUGCAGCUGGUCCAGACUGUUGCCUACCAUGGGGAAUUCCUUCUGUUAAAUCAUGGGAUAAGGAUGAUGAAGGUUAGCUCCUUUAAAACAAUUUUGAAGCCAUAAUUCACCCUUAGCUUAUCUCUUCUUGUGAAAGCUUACAUUAACAUAAUGUGAUCUGAGAACCCAGAGCUGUGGACAAGUCUCACUCACGAGUCACAUAUCAGCACCACAGCAUCUCAUGACAAAAACAUUGUUAGAGGGUUAAUAACUGUUAACAAAAUUUUCUCUCUUUACGAUACAAUAGCUGAAGGUACAUUGAGUCUUAACUGCAGGAAAAUGAUAUCAGCAGAUUUUUCAGGUCUGUAGUAAUUUGUGUCAUCUGUAACCAUAUAACAGAUCUAUUUUAACAUGGGAAACUGGUGAAUUCUUCCUUUAAAUUCAUUAACAUUUGGUUUAAUUGAUUCACAGAAUAGGAAGUAAAGCAUUUCUGCCAAUGUCCAACCAUAACAGGAGAAAUUCCAGUUCUUUACUAUUUGGUUGCAGUAGGUAAAAUCUCAGAAAGGUAAAGUUGCUGUAAUUUUGAGUGAUACUGAGUGAAAGAUUUAUGUUUGUGUUCCAUGACCUAGCUCCUGUCCAAUAUCUUGAAAUAGCUGUGGUGUGUGAAGCUCUACACCACAUGAUUUUUUAAGUCUAAUACAUUUAUA
Long non-coding RNA from Numida meleagris (helmeted guineafowl), 1591 nucleotides. The record is from Ensembl. NCBI's taxonomy places the organism in Eukaryota, Metazoa, Chordata, Aves, Galliformes, Numididae.